This 459-nucleotide ribosomal RNA is filed under the name uncultured bacterium. Its description in RNAcentral is "partial 16S ribosomal RNA". It matches the Rfam family "Bacterial small subunit ribosomal RNA", at positions 28 to 523 of the family's 1533-position model. The record is from RNAcentral.
GAUGAACGCUGGCGGCGUGCCUUAGGCAUGCAAGUCGAACGGGAAGUCUUCGGACUUCUAGUGGCGGAAGGGUGAGUAACGCGUGGGAACGUACCUAUUGGUGGAGAAUAGCUCGCCGAAAGGCGGGAUAAUUCUGCAUAAGACCGCAAGGUGAAAGGGCUUAACCGCCCGCCGAUAGAGCGGCCUGCGUCCUAUCAGCUUGUUGGUGAGGUAAAGGCUUACCAAGCCGACGAUCCUUAGCUGGUCUGAGAGGAUGAUCAGCCACACUGGGACUGAGACACGGCCCAGACUCCUACGGGAGGCAGCAGUGGGGAAUAUUGGACAAUGGGCGAAAGCCUGAUCCAGCAAUGCCGCGUGAGUGAUGAAGGCCUUAGGGUUGUAAAGCCCUUUUACCCGGGAUGAUAAUGACAGUACCGGGAGAAUAAGCUCCGGCUAACUCCGUGCCAGCCGCCGCCGUAA